RNAcentral lists this ribosomal RNA (145 nucleotides) under uncultured eukaryote. Its description in RNAcentral is "partial 18S ribosomal RNA". It matches the Rfam family "Eukaryotic small subunit ribosomal RNA", at positions 1299 to 1458 of the family's 1831-position model. The record is from RNAcentral.
UGGUGGAGUGAUUUGUCUGGUUAAUUCCGGUAACGAACGAGACUCUGGCCUACUAAAUAGUCGACGUGGUGGUAUGGCCACGGUCGAAACUAUCUUCUUAGAGGGAUGAGCAGCAAGUGCAGCUGCAGGAGAUUGAGCAAUAACA